GGAUGCGAUCAUACCAGCACUAAAGCACCGGAUCCCAUCAGAACUCCGAAGUUAAGCGUGCUUGGGCGAGAGUAGUACUAGGAUGGGUGACCUCCUGGGAAGUCCUCGUGUUGCAUCCCUC
RNAcentral lists this ribosomal RNA (121 nucleotides) under Oryza sativa Indica Group (long-grained rice). Lineage: Eukaryota; Viridiplantae; Streptophyta; Magnoliopsida; Poales; Poaceae. The record is from RNAcentral.